RNAcentral lists this transfer RNA (63 nucleotides) under Stenocladius sp. 2 XYG-2023a. RNAcentral describes it as "tRNA-Pro". Lineage: Eukaryota; Metazoa; Arthropoda; Insecta; Coleoptera; Lampyridae. The record is from RNAcentral.
CAGAAAAUAGUUUAAUUAAAAUAUUAAUUUUGGAUAUUAAUGAAAAGUACAUCUUUUUUCUGA